CUACAAGGGUAUCUAAUCCUGUUCGCUCCCCACGCUUUCGCGCCUCAGCGUCAGUUACAGACCAAAGAGCCGCCUUCGCCACUGGUGUUCCUCCACAUCUCUACGCAUUUCACCGCUACACGUGGAAUUCCGCUCUUCUCUUCUGCACUCAAGCCUUCCAGUUUCCAAUGACCCUCCCCGGUUGAGCCGGGGGCUUUCACAUCAGACUUAAAAGGCCGCCUGCGCGCGCUUUACGCCCAAUAAUUCCGGACAACGCUUGCCACCUACGUAUUACCGCGGCGGCUGGCAC
This 289-nucleotide ribosomal RNA is filed under the name uncultured Domibacillus sp. RNAcentral describes it as "partial 16S ribosomal RNA". Lineage: Bacteria; Bacillati; Bacillota; Bacilli; Caryophanales; Bacillaceae. The record is from RNAcentral.